Long non-coding RNA from Dendroctonus ponderosae (mountain pine beetle), 631 nucleotides. RefSeq lists it as uncharacterized. The record is from RefSeq and is a predicted model, not a curated record. Lineage: Eukaryota; Metazoa; Arthropoda; Insecta; Coleoptera; Curculionidae. The transcript has 3 exons.
UUUAUUGAAAAGCGCUUGAACUUGAGCAAUUAGUUUCACCCGGAAAUUUAAUCUACCUAUAAUGUUAUCAUGAAAAUAAGAAAAUUUGGAGAUAGAAAAGUGUUCAGAUAAAAGGCCAAUCACAAAUUUAUUCUCGAGAUUACGUUUAAAGUUUUGUGUGAUUUUAAGCGCCUGAUUACAUUAAACUGGUUUGAAUCGCCUUCCGAAAGAAGUCUAUGUUCUUCCCGUACACCCUGUAUACCAAAAUCCCGAAAAAGGAGGGGAGAAUAAUCGAUUGCAAAAAACCAUUUCGAAUGAGAGAAAGCGAAUCUUUUUGGAAGUCAAUCCAUACCAUCGCAUCUUCUAUGGUAAAUAUUGGUAAGCCGAUAGAUCCCCAAACAGCCCCACUUUCCUGAGAUUCGCUACUAGCGCUCAAGAUCACUGACGGGUAAUCAACAGGAAGUAUUUUCCGAAGCUUUAAAGAAAAUGUGCUUUAAACUUUCGAACUGUUUCAACGAUACUCUGUUGACUUUAAAUAAUAUUGUUCCUUAAGUUUAUUUUUGUUUUGCGCUUCUUACCAUUGUCUUUGGUUCCUCCAUGGAUCUAGUAGGACUAGCGCUGUUAUAUAUAAAUAUAUCACUGUUAAGUUACA